GCCAGGUGUGGUGGCACAUGCCUUUAGUUCCAGCUACUGGGGAGGCUGAGACUGGUAGAUUUCUUGCACUCCAGAGUUCUGAGCAGUAUUGGGUUAUACCUAUUGGGUGUCUGCACUAAGAUUGGAAUCAAUACGGUGCGUCUUGAGGGGCAGGGAGACUAGUUUGUCUAAGGAGGGGAGAACUAGCCCAGGUGGGAAACACAGCAGGUCCGAGCUCAUUGACAAUCAGUAUGAUCAGGCCAUGAGUGGCUCCUGUACUGGCCUGGGUCAGAUGGGGAGAAUCAGUCUUC
This 290-nucleotide signal recognition particle RNA is filed under the name Phascolarctos cinereus (koala). RNAcentral describes it as "Metazoan signal recognition particle RNA (ENSPCIG00000016374.2)". It matches the Rfam family "Metazoan signal recognition particle RNA". From Rfam's summary of the family: The signal recognition particle (SRP) is a universally conserved ribonucleoprotein. It is involved in the co-translational targeting of proteins to membranes. The eukaryotic SRP consists of a 300-nucleotide 7S RNA and six proteins: SRPs 72, 68, 54, 19, 14, and 9. The record is from RNAcentral. Lineage: Eukaryota; Metazoa; Chordata; Mammalia; Diprotodontia; Phascolarctidae.